GAUUCGCCAGUUUCUUUGCGAGGCAAGAGUGUACGCCAGUAUGUUUGGCGAGCUGGGGUUCGCUAGUUUGUUUGGCAUAUUGGGGUUUGCCAGUUGAAUUGUGAAUUGGGUUUGCCGGUCAAAGAUACAAUCAAACUCAAAUUGGGAAAAAGAGAUCCAGUGUAUUUAGGAAUACUUUAUGUGCAAGGAACGUUUUUCUUAAUUCAGAUAGGGUAUAAAUAAGACCCUUAGUCCUAUGAAAUUCUUCACUAACUAUUCUGCCGUCAAAGUCUUUGUUCUAAAAAUCCUAUUCGUAGCAAUCUGGACCCUCUACCAGUAAGGACAAUGGAAAAGCUAAACUUGUUUAAGUUUCUCUGCUUUCGUAAGUAGGUUGCGGAUAGCAUUAGCAAGGUCGACGAUCUGGCAAGGCACUUGAUUGGAUAUUGACGAACCUGGGAGAUAGGCGAUGGGUUUAGAAUGUUAUUUAUACUGUUGACGUAAUUAUUGAACAAUUACUUAAGUUCAAGUUUAAAGUUGUGACCUACUUUUAAGUUUAAUUUUUAUUAUUUUGUGAACCAUGACUUGGAGCAUGUGUUUAUGUUGUUAAUAAAUCGAUGUUAUUCAUGCA
Long non-coding RNA from Gossypium arboreum, 607 nucleotides. RefSeq lists it as uncharacterized. The record is from RefSeq and is a predicted model, not a curated record. The transcript has 3 exons. Lineage: Eukaryota; Viridiplantae; Streptophyta; Magnoliopsida; Malvales; Malvaceae.